AAGAGGGCCGACACGAGUCACUUCAGUAUUACCAUUGGCUGGUUUUCUACUCAGUCCUUGGGAAUUAUCUCUAGAUGAUCUCCGAGCUAACUGAGCAAAAUCAUCUUCCGAUUCGUCAUCUUCAUGGCUAACAUUUAUAAUUGGAAGAGCGGAUGAUUCAGCUCCUGUUGCUUCCCUAGUAGCAGUCCCAUUCGCUAUAUCAUCAUGCUGUUUAAGAACUCGCUGCAGACUAUCAUUCAAAGCCAGUCCCUGACAUAAAAGUUCCUCAUCUCCUGUACUAUUUACAAGCAGCAUGACGCGCUUUUGAUAAGAUCGGCACUGGUCAACCAGGUCAACAAUCACUUCUUGCUUCACGCCCUCUGGUUUUUUAGGGUCCAAGGCACCAAGCAUCUCCAAUAGAACAUCUGCAAGUCCAUGUGCAUUUCGUAUCUCUGGCAAGCUCAGGCCAGAAGCAUCAGAUUCAAGAGAGGCAUGAAUAGCAGCAUCCUCAUAAGUUG
RNAcentral lists this unclassified non-coding RNA (497 nucleotides) under Hevea brasiliensis (rubber tree). Lineage: Eukaryota; Viridiplantae; Streptophyta; Magnoliopsida; Malpighiales; Euphorbiaceae. The record is from RNAcentral.